RNAcentral lists this ribosomal RNA (122 nucleotides) under Nosema mylitta. Its description in RNAcentral is "partial small subunit ribosomal RNA". It matches the Rfam family "Microsporidia small subunit ribosomal RNA", at positions 1197 to 1311 of the family's 1311-position model. The record is from RNAcentral. Lineage: Eukaryota; Fungi; Microsporidia; Nosematidae.
CGUCUUCUAGAAAAGAUAGAUGGUAAUUAUCUAUGAACAAAUUUAUAAAGUGAAUAGAUAGUACUAGAUCUGAUAUAAGUCGUAACAUGGUUGCUGUUGGAGAACCAUUAGCAGGAUCAUAA